UUUGGAGGUCAUUCUCUUGUGUCUUUCUCUGUGUCCCAGCCAGGCCUCUCUCCACAGGGAUAUCUCCGCAGGUUCUGUCAAGUGUGUAAGCGAAGAAGCAACCUAUACAGGAGAGUCUUCGAGAAGUUUGAUAAGGACAGGGAUGGACUGCCUUCUCUCAAGGAAAUGGAACGUGGUAUAUGUAACCUGUAUAUGACUGAUGUCACCGCUGGGCUGCUCCAGCGGCUGGUGGUAUUGAUUGACGCAAAAUCACACUUUGACUGUGUCAUUCUGCGCGACAUGUGCCCUGUCUGAAAGAAUAUUUCACUCUCUGUUAAUGAAAGAAGACAUGGAGGAACAUUUUGAAAAGGACCGUUUAGAAGAGGCCGACUUCAGCUCACUGAUGGGAAAGCUCUGCUACCAUAACAUUUCACCUCCAACGACUAGACUGUUGUUAAUGAUUUCAAGACUUACAUGUGUUCAAAAAACCUAGACCAGCGCCUCAAAGGUUAGUACUAGGCCCAGUGGUCUCACGUACCAGAUUUGAUAGGGCUUUCUUUGUAGACACUGGCUGUUGAGACUAGGGCCCCUGUAACCUAGUUAGGGUCUUACAGUCACCUGUCAUCGGAGUGUCACGGUGACAAUUCAUAUAAACGUUUGUUGGAUUAUUUGUCCCCUUCCAUUUUAAUAAACUUGUUCAAAGCCAACAUUCUUCUAAUGUAGGCCUACAUAUUUCCCUGCCAUACAUGCUCAACUGGUAUACAAGUAAAGCACUGUUUCUGUAAAUGACAACUGCUAGCAAAUAAAUGCAAUCCAUCAUUACAAAUGUUUUAACUUGACAUCUUCAACAAAAAACUCUGAUUAGAGAUUUGGUAUCAGGGCCAACCAACCAUGUGCCCUGUGGUUGUGUUAGAAAAUCCCUUGUCUAUCUCCAACCUUCCUCCAGUGCUUCUCAAAUGACAGUGACUUAACAUGGCCCACCAAAAAUAAAUGGGUAUACAUCCAACAGGCAAGCUUCCAUUUUGUGAGUCAUUUCUAACCAUGUUUAAACACCCAAUUCCAUGGCUUUACUCCAUGGCUUUUUAAAAAGUAAAAACCAAGAAGCAUGAAUGAAUUGUUUGAUGCAAUCAACACCAACAGACAUUUAGGUAUGUUUAAUUUAGAUUGUUUAAUGUUAAUUCCAUGCUGUGUUUCAGAAAGAACAAUAGGAGACGCUCUGUGGCUCCAGUCAGAUAUCCAGUAGUACAAAUUAGCUUUAAAUUACACAUAAUGAAGC
Long non-coding RNA from Coregonus clupeaformis (lake whitefish), 1255 nucleotides. RefSeq lists it as uncharacterized. NCBI's taxonomy places the organism in Eukaryota, Metazoa, Chordata, Actinopteri, Salmoniformes, Salmonidae. The record is from RefSeq and is a predicted model, not a curated record. The transcript has 3 exons.